GUGUCAGCAGCCGCGGUAAGACGAACCGUGCGAAUGUUGUUCGGAAUCACUGGGCUUAAAGGGAGCGUAGGCGGGCUAUCAAGUCUGGGGUGAAAUGCCGCGGCUCAACCGUGGAACUGCCUUAGAUACUGACGGCCUCGAGGGAGAUAGGGGCAUGCGGAACUGUAGGUGGAGCGGUGAAAUGCGUUGAUAUCUACAGGAACUCCGGUGGCGAAAGCGGCGUGCUGGAUCUCUUCUGACGCUGAGGCUCGAAAGCUAGGGGAGCAAACGGGAUUAGAUACCCCCGUAGUCC
Molecule: ribosomal RNA, 292 nt
Filed under: uncultured bacterium
Lineage: Bacteria
Description: partial 16S ribosomal RNA
Rfam family: Bacterial small subunit ribosomal RNA
Source: RNAcentral